GUCGUAACAAGGUUUCCGUAGGUGAACCUGCGGAAGGAUCAUUAUUGAAUAAAACUUGGUUGGGUUGCUGCUGGCCCCUCGGGGCAUGUGCACGCCCGGCAAACCAUUUUUAACCACCUGUGCACCCUUUGUAGACCUGGAUAACCCCUCGAGGAAACUCGGUUUGAGGACCGCCGCGCGAAAGCCGGCCCUCCUUGCUCUUCCGGUCUAUGUUUUCACAUACCCCACAAGAAUGUAACAGAAUGUCAUUGAAUGGCCUUUGUGCCUUUAAUCAAAUACAACUUUCAACAACGGAUCUCUUGGCUCUCGCAUCGAUGAAGAACGCAGCGAAAUGCGAUAAGUAAUGUGAAUUGCAGAAUUCAGUGAAUCAUCGAAUCUUUGAACGCACCUUGCGCUCCUUGGUAUUCCGAGGAGCAUGCCUGUUUGAGUGUCAUUAAAUUCUCAACCUUUCCGGCUUUUGCUAGCUGUGUCAGGCUUGGACGUGGGGGCUGCGGGCUUCUUUCGAGAAGUCGGCUCUCCUUAAAUGCAUUAGUGAGACCUCUGGUUGACCAUCUCUGGUGUGAUAAUUAUCUACGCCGCUGAGAAUCAGCCUUCAUCAUGGGGUCCUGCUCUCUAACCGUCCUCUUCGAGGACAACUCCUGACAUUUUGACCUCAAAUCAGGUAGGACUACCCGCUGAACUUAAGCAUAUCAAUAAGCGGAGGAAAAGAAACUAAC
Molecule: ribosomal RNA, 716 nt
Filed under: Tricholomella constricta
Lineage: Eukaryota; Fungi; Basidiomycota; Agaricomycetes; Agaricales; Lyophyllaceae
Description: eukaryotic LSU rRNA
Rfam family: 5.8S ribosomal RNA (bases 280-433)
Source: RNAcentral